Scylla paramamosain (green mud crab) is the source of this 6087-nucleotide RNA transcript. It is a transcript of the gene named probable E3 ubiquitin-protein ligase HERC4, with no coding region annotated. The record is from RefSeq and is a predicted model, not a curated record. Lineage: Eukaryota; Metazoa; Arthropoda; Malacostraca; Decapoda; Portunidae. The transcript has 12 exons.
CGUUUUCUUUUCUCGUCUCUUUCUGGUGGAUGGUGGUGAUUGUGGUGGUGGUGGUGCUGCUACUACUACUAUUACUACUACUACUACUACUACUACUACUACUACUACUACUACAAUUCCUCUUCCUGUUCUUCCUCGUUCUUCUCCUUUUCCUCUUACACCCACUUCAUCUUCCUCCCUAACCCACUCCCACACACCUACACACCCCCAAUACACCCCUGUACACCCCCCAAACACCUCCAAACACCUCCAACCCUCUAGUUUCUUACAUCAAGAGCCUCGAUAUUUGGAGUGAUCCUGUGCCACCUGUACCAUCAAGAUCAAGAUCAAGUAUAGACGCCACAACAGUUCCCCCGUGUUUACUCUUACGACUGCCUAGAAAUCUUGUUUUUCGAAAAUUUCCCAAGUAAUUCCCCACCCCGGAGGCCGCCCCCAGUAAACCUGUUCCCUGCAUCCAUGAAUUAAUUGAUGAGCUACAGAACUACAGCAUCGUUCAGGUGGCAGCUGGAGAUCAGCACUCUCUUGCUCUCACCUCCUGGGGCCUGGCAUGAUGAAGGCGUCAGGCGAUAAACAGUGCACACGCGGGACUGAGUCACUCAGUAAACACAGUGCAGUGGGCCGCGGGUGGCGCGAAGCAGUGCGCUCUGGUGGCGAGGGGACAAAGUAUGCCUUGCGCGGGAAUUUUAAUCGAUUUUAUCUACGCAUGGGGUGACAAUGGGUACGGUCAGCUUGGCGUCAACUCCUGCGACAGUCACAUUGCCACACCCAAGCUUGUCGAGAGUCUGGCCAGGAAGGUGACAGUGCAGCUGGCCUGUGGCGCCAACCACACCCUUGCCUUGACUGCUGACGGUGAAUUGUACACUUGGGGACAAAAUACCUUCGGCCAGUUGGGACUUAGACACCAACAGGGGCCCCAGAAGGACCCUGCCCUGGUGACCUCCUUGGCUGGCACCCCCUUAGUCCUGCUGGCCGCUGCGGGUCACCACUCUGCUGCCGUGACCCAGGCCGGCUACCUGCUGUUGUGGGGGUCAAACAAGCAGGGUCAACUGGGCUAUACUCCCAAGGGUGAUCCUCUUGUAUGUAAUGUGGUGGUACAGAUACUGAAUUCAGCUCACCAAUCUAGCUCUGAGAGAGACCAGCGUGCCCUCGUGUCUUCCCUGCGGCUGUUGUCCCUGGUCCACGGUCUGAACUUCCAAGCCGGCUGCCGAGUGGGGUGGUUGAACUACGACGACUUUUACAUCCCAGAAAUUGCAGAGAAAAUUGAUAUUAGGAAUGAUUACUUGAACUGGAUGAACAGCAGGCUUCACCCGAUGUCCAGGAGGGAGAGUCCAAUCCUGUUCUGUGAGUAUCCAUUCUUGUUCGACCCUCAGGCCAAGAUGCUGCUGCUCAGGUGUGACGCCACUCGUCAGAUGAGAACGAGGCAUUGUGUGUGGACUGGCAAUCUACAACUUCACCAUCAUCAACCUGCCCUUCCCAAUUGCACUGUACAAGAAGUUACUGUGAGAGACUGUAGGCUUGGAUGACCUUGCCGACCUUGACCCGCAGCUGACCAGGUCACUGCGAGAUCUGCUGGAGUACGAGGGAGGUGACGAGGAGGAAGUUUAUGGCCUCGACUUCACUUUGACCCAGGAUUACUUUGGGGAGUGCAAGAGUGUCCCCCUGAAGGCUGGAGGGGAGGAGAUGUCAGUCACACAGCAGAACAAUGUUGCCACGGUGACGGUGGUGGUGGGCAUGAUACAGAUGCGGGAGCUGGAGUUUGUGCCCGAUGGAGACAUGCAGCUGGACAAAUUCUGUUGCUCAUUGCUCAGACUGGAGUUUACAUGUAUACCUCCUUCACCAUCAUUGGUGGACACUUCACCAUGAGUGAUGCUUGAGCUGUCAUGGUGCUGCUGCUGUUGUCUGCCAUCAUCCCCCUGACACAGACCACCCUGCAGACCAUCUUCAUCCUGGGUGCCACACGUCACUGCUGCUACAACUCAGAGCAACUGGAGCGCAAGCCAGGAAGGGAGAUAGUAACUUUUCACUUAAUCUGUUGUUUAUUUGAGGGCCUAAUGACAGACACAUAAUGGAAUGAGUAUUUGUGAAUGUUUGUUUAUAUCUAGAUACAGCAUUCACAUAUCUUUUAAGUGCCACCUUCCAAAAACAAUGUCAGCCAGAAAAAUAACUGAUGAAUCUAAUUACAUUUCAAGUCAAAAAGUUUUCCUUUAACCACUUUGCUCCAGAUGCUUAAAAACAUGCGUUGCUCACAUACAUGGCGUCGCGUAGGCUCGUGAGUGGUAACUUAUCUAAUUUCUAAUAAUUUCUAAUAUAAUUUCUGUGUGUGUGUGUGUGUGUGUGUGUGUGUGUGUGUUUUAUGUAUGAGUGACACUGGCCAAGGGCAACAAAAAUCCAAUAAAAAAAUAUGCCCACUGAAAUGGCAGUCCCAUAAAAGGGUCAAAGCAGUGGUCAAAAGUUGAUGAAUAAGUGUCUUAAAACCUCCCUCUUGAAGGAAUUCAAGUCAUAGGAAGGUGGAAAUACAGAAGCAGGCAGGGAGUUCCAGAGUUUACCAGAGAAAGGGAUGAAUGAUUGAGAAUACUUGUUAACUCUUGCAUUAGAGAAGUGGACAGAAUAGGGGUGAGAGAAAGAAGAAAAUCUUGUGCAGCGAGGCCGUGGAAGGAGGGGAGGCAUGCAGUUAGCAAGAUCAGAAGAGCAGUUAGCAUGAAAAUAGCGGUAGAAGACAGCUAGAGAUGCAACAUUGCGGCGGUGAGAGAGAGGCUGAAGACAGUCAGUUAUGUUUAUGUGUGUGUGUGUGUGUGUGUGUGUGUGUGUGUGUGUGUGUGUGUGUGUGUGUGUGUGUGUGUGUGUGUGUGUGUGUGUGCGCGCGCUGAUGCAGCUGAGAAGGUUGCCUUAUGAUAAUUAUUGACAAAUGAAGGUAAUGGAUGCGCAUGUCAUUACUACUUUUUUAAGUGUGUGUGUAUGUGUGUGUGUUAUGUACACACACACACACACACACACACACACACACACACACACACACACACACACACACACACACACACACAAAGAGAAGUAAUAGACACGCAUCCUUUACCUUCAUUCAUCAAUAAUUGUCAUAAGACGACCUUCCCAGCUGCAUCAUUACACACACACACACACACACACACACACACACACACACCACGUAGUGUAGUGGUUAGCACGCUCGGCUCACAACCAAGAAGGCCCAGGUUCGAAUCCCGGGCACGGUGAGGCAGAUGGACAAGCCUCUUAAUGUGUAGCCCUCUUAAUGUGUAGCCUCUUAAUGUGUAGGUACAGGAUGUAACCCGAGGUGAUGUGACUUAGCUGCCCCGGUGUGUGGUGUGUCAUUGGCCUCAGUCCUACCCAAAGAUCAGUCACCAUGAGCUCUGAGCUCUUACACACACACACACACACACACACACACACACACACACACACACACACACACACACACAGAGAGAGAGAGAGAGAGAGAGAGAGAGAGAGCAAAAUGGCAAUGAAUGAAACAGGGAGGAGGGGGAACUGUGUGUGAAGGAAAACAUCAUCUACGUGAAACAUUUGAUUGAUUAUAAAGCACAUGUGCAUCAUAUAUAGUCAUGAAUGUGGAGGAACAGCAGAGUGAGUGAUCAACCACAGAAAGGAGAGAGUCGGACAUGCGGAGAGAAUGGAAGGGGAACAAUUUGAGAAGAUAAGCAUGCAAAUACAUAAAUAUAAGGUGGAAUAACAGUGUUUGGUGGGAAGAUGAAAGAGAGAUGCCUGUUUAUGAAGCAAAAUGGUUGUGCAAGAGAGGAAUGAUUGGAAAACCAUUCCCACCAUAGCCAACAGACCUUACACCAUAUUUUUACAAACCACAGCAUCUCUAUUCAUCCAUUCUGUGUGUCUUCUCUUCUCUCUCUCUCUCCACUCUUAAUGCUGCUGUGGGUCUCUGGGCUGGAGUGCAUCAGAGAAAGAUUGACACCGACUUAUAUAUGAGAGGAUGUUGUCUGUAACUAUGCUAUGGGGACAUUGCAAGUUUGUGGGGUGUAGUGAAUGAAUAAGUGUGUCCUCUAUAGCAUACUUAAAAACCACACUCUCACAUGGAAAUCAAUCUCUCUCUCUCUCUCUCUCUCUCUCUCUCUCUCUCUCUCUCUCUCUCUCUCUCUCUCUCUCUCUCUCUCUCUCUCUCUCUCUCUCUCUCUCUCUCUCUCUCUCUCUCUCUCUCUCUCUCUCUCUCUCUUUUUCUUUCUUUCUUUUGUUGCAUAUUUUACUCCUUUACAUUCUUCCCUACAGUAUUUUUUCGUCUACUUUAUGACUGGAGUCGUUUUAUCAUCCCAAUGUAUGUCCCAUCCAUUCUGAAACUGUAAUUCACCAUUCAGCUCAAAUGUGUCUCAGUUUUGAUAAUCAUUAAUUUGUUUCAGCUACACAACCACUCUGAUAAGGGACAAAUCUACUUCACCAGUCAUCUAUGUCAUACAGUCAUAUAUUCAUACAUAUGACAAAAUGCUUUUCCUAAGACAUUUCUUAUUUUCUCUUCUCAAGUGACCUGUCCAUCUAUCUAAGGUACCACAUAAUAUUUAAAACUUACAAUAUUGCAUUUAAUUCAUGAACAUUUUUUUGUCUAUGUAGACUUGAAAUUAUAUUGCGUAUAGACUUGAAAUGUAUUGCGAGUUUUCUCUAUCUCUCAUUCUAUACCUAACACCUGUUCCUAAGAAUCCCCAGGUGAUAGCCAUGGUGACUGGCUGGUCUCCUACUGAGUGGCUGGGGUUUUCCAAAAGUGAGGGUUGGUGUUCUAUACCAUACCAUGUGCCCUGUUUGUAUUCCUUCUCUAUCCUCUGUAUUAUAUUCUAUCUAAAGAUGGUGCUGGGGUGGGAUCUAGUUCUUAUUCCCUAAAAGUGAUGAGGAGUGACACUGGGCAGCAUUAAUUUACUCCUUAGAGAUGGCUGGGUUCCUGUGGAUGAGUGGGCCAUGCUGUGCUUUGUCAAGGAUGGUGUUUGGUAUUGUGAUGACUCUUGCCACAAUCAAGUGUCUCCCACAGAGUAGUGGAGUACCUAUGUAUGGUGUUGACCCAAGCUGUCCAGGUCUCAUCCAAUGCCUUAAUAUGAUUUAGAUGAUCAAAAUGGUUUAACUCACCAUUUAAUCAGCUGACUGAUUUGAAUGGAGAAGUAUGUAAUGUGUUGUAGCCUAACCAUCCCUGCCAGCAUGGUCAGACUCUUGGUAGUAACCUGAAAUGCUCCUAGGUAGUGAGUAUCAUUGCACAUAAUGAUCUUUACUUUGUCAGUAAUUCAAUGAUACUGAAUAUUACUCUACUGGAUUUUGCUCAGCACUGCUUGGUAACUUUUGGCCAUAAUCCCAGGUCUGGAAUGAUAUGAAGCCAUGUUUUUACAUUCUAUAUGAGACAGGCAAGCACUAUGCUUUGCCUGACUGAUACCUCUACUUUGCAUUUAUGACCCCAGGUAGUUCAUCACUCUCUCUCUCUCUCUCUCUCUCUCUCUCUCUCUCUCUCUCUCUCUCUCUCUCUCUCUCUCUCUCUCUCUCUCUCUCUCUCUCUCUCUCUCUCUCUCUCUCUCUCUCUCUCUCUCUCUCUCUCUCUCUCUCUCUCUCUCUCUCUCUCUCUCUCUCUCUCUCUCUCUCUCUCUGUUUGGAAUUAUACUGUAUAUUAGGAAAUAUCAUUAAAGAGUGUGUGUGUGUGUGUGUAAAAAGUGUUUGCAUUAUUGUGCAUUUGAUGUUAUAGCCCCAGGUUCUUAAAGUUUUCUAGUUUCAUGAUUUAUAAAGAUUGCUAUUUUUAAUAAAGUUAUUGAAAUUGUUAUUGAGUGUUUGUAUUGAACUCAUUAGCUUUGUAAUAGUGUGCGUCUCAUCAUGCGUUCAUUAAUGAUGUAGAGUGGAAAUGUCCACUCCUAUCAUGAAUAAUAUCAAUGCAUUAUUGGUUUAUGUUGUUAUUUGUGUAUAAAUUGUAAAGUUAUGCCAGUCUAUUUUAGUACAAACUAAAUAUCAGCUGGAAGAGAGGACAGGUAAUGGCACACUAAAACACAGGAAGGGACAAUGAUAUAACCAUCCAAUUUAACAAUACACAGAGCAAGAAGAAUGAGAAAGCAAUAAAAAUGGAUUAUUUAA